CUUUUCAGCCUAGGAAUCGUCACCUGAGAUAACAUAUAAUUGGCUAUUUACUGCGAAUCUUCGAGGCUGCGUAAAUUCUGACCUGGGCUGUUCAGGGACGUUACUUACACCUCACCCUCAAGGGAGUACCCAGGUACAAGGACGAGGAGGAAAGCUUGAACCCCUAAGGGCACAGAGCCCCUCCGGGCUUUCAGGACAGAGUCACAUCUGGUCCUGAGGAGAGUUCCGGGAAGAGCAGAGAGCAGGUGACUUCCCCUGUCUGCUGAGAGAGGGACACAGACCUGAGGACGAGAAGAUGGAAGGCUCCCCAAGGUCACUGCCUAAGGCGCAUCCACCGGACAGAGAUGGCAUCGGAGUCUCACCUGACAUAAGCAACUCUCAUAUUUCAUUUUCCUCUUAUUUUUUGGAAACAAGGCAUUAAAUUACAUUCCUAGUGCCACCAGCUGGCACUGAAAAUGCUUGGCAUCCUCCACCUUUCCUGAUUCUUACAGCACCAAAGAAUAAAAUCAGCAUUUACAUAUAGAUAGGGCCCCAGCUUGAACACCUCCCACAGCGUGCACGGACAGUGUCACUGACACAGGGCUCCCUGGGAAACCAUUGUAAUAGCGCGUGUUCACACCCCCGGGACAGGCAACGUUAGAGAGAUGCUCCAGCAACCUGACAACCUGUAAUUACAGGCACGCGCUUCCUACAUGUCGUGACAUAAACGAAGAAAAGAAGAAAGGUGGUUUUCUCAGAGGUUCCUUGAUAGUGAUGUUGCCUGUGAGCAAAGCAAGAAGAUUUUGAUUACACACCAACAACAACAACAACAACAACAACACCAGCAUUCAGGACCCAUCCACUUGAAAGGUACCUGAGGUACAGAAAAACUACACAACUAUAUUACUGCACAUGGCGUAGACCUCAUCUGAAUGUGUGAAAACUUCAUGACUUUUGAAGAAGAGAUAAGUGAAAAUAGCCGAGGUCUUCUUCCCCAACAGGAUUGAAAGGAUGAAUGGUACAAUGUCCGUGAAGCGUCUUGAUCUCCACAAGCAACCUUGCAGGCCCUCCGCGGGGAAGCCUGCAGCCUACUUCCCUUUUAACUUCCGUGAGCUCUCCCAUCCCCAGUGACUCAUCCUCCUAAGCACACUGUGUCUAAGAGUCGGGAGAAAAUACUAUUUGAAGUUUGGAUUCAGCAUCAGGCAAAAUGAGAUUCAGAACCUAGAGCUACCUUACCUUCUUUGAACUCCAUCACCAGUUGAAAUAUUCUAACCAAAAUGUUUCCCUGCCUUUCUGCCCUCUGCCUUCCUUGCUCCCAAAAAAUAUGGGGUGCUUGAGCUCUGUGUUCUUGUUCUCAGUAGCACAUGGCUACAAGGGCACUUUUCUCUCCCUGAAGGCUAGAAAAAUAGGAGUUGAGCAAAGGGGGGAAAAAAACAACAAUCUGAGCAGUA
Molecule: long non-coding RNA, 1430 nt
Organism: Chinchilla lanigera (long-tailed chinchilla)
Lineage: Eukaryota; Metazoa; Chordata; Mammalia; Rodentia; Chinchillidae
Exons: 4
Source: RefSeq, a predicted model, not a curated record